GCUAGCCCAUUUAACAGAGCCCAAACCAGCCUAACCCUAAUUACCCUUCUCCCUCCCUCGUGCCUCCGCCGCCACUUCACCUUUCUCCUCGCGCUGCUCCAUGUCGGCGGCGCCAGCGCCGAACCACCCCACAUCUGGCCACUCCCCACCUAUCCCAGCCCGAACCCCCCAGUCAACCCCACGCCAUGCCCAUCUCCAUUCAUAUCGCCCCAUCGAGCUAUGGCAACCCAAUCCUACCCCUCGAUCUGAGGCGGCAGUGGUGGCGGCGGGACCAACUGCCGGAUUUGGAUGUCCCUGAGGUUGCUGGCGGCGGGCACUGCCCAACUCCAUCUGGCGGUGAGCGGUGGUGAGGUACAGGAGGCGGAGACAACGCCACAGAUCCAGAGUACAUCGGCGGCCCUUGUGGCUGGGUCCAAUUUUCCGUCAGCCGCGCCACCGUCGGUACCCUCGUCGUCGCAGCCGUCUUCUCCAACCGUGGUGCGCAGUCUCCACACUUCGCGGUUCACCUUCUCCGGCCGGCAAGGCCCAAGAAAAAGUGCCAUGGAUAUCACAUCCUGUGGUUCUGCGCAUAGAUAGGCCUCCUCCUCCUCCUCGUGUGCUCCACUGUGUCCAUGGCGCUCACCCCGUACGGUACCGCCUCUCCAGUUCCCAAUCCCACCCCUAAAUCGAUGGAUGGAUCUCCAUGGAUGCUCGGGCGCGGAGGACCUCCUCCCGUAGGAUCCACGGACGCGGCGCACCCUGCAGCCGCUGGUCCAGGAAGAGGGCGGGCACCGCGGCUUGUCCUGCUCGACGAUGGUGGCGGCGAAUGCGUGUGCUGCUCCUCAUCCUGAAACUCCAAGGAGGAGUGCCAAUACAACAUAAGCACGCCCCGCCACUGAACAAUGGCCAUGGCGCUAGGUAAGCGGUGUACAGGACGUCCUCCUCAUCGAAGCGGCCAUCCAUGACAAGCUCUCUUUGCUGGAGGAGGUGGAACAGCAAGUCCAGCACCCGCUUGGCCCCUGUGUCCUAUUGCGCGUGGACAAGCUCACCAAUGGCUGCGUCUUCCUUCCCUCCUACAGUAGUGGCGAGCUUCUCCCCUCUCCCCACUUUCCCCCCAAAUCUGGAUGACAGUUGUAAUCUGAAUACAAAUCAUGUUUUGCUUCAGUUUAGAGGUGGAUUCACUUUCCGAGAUGAACGUGUGAGCUUGAUUAGUUGCCGAUGGUUUUGUGGGUCUGAUUCUCUUGCACUAUUACACAUAAUUUAAUUAGGGCAAGCUAAUUCUAAUCCACAUAAUAUGAUGUAGCUAUUUUUUUCUAACCACUGGUCUUCAUGUUGCGUUCGUACUCAUCUUUUGGGACUUAAUUCGGAAGUCACAGCUUGUUAGAUACAAAUUCAGCUGUGGCUUUGUAUCUUCCUAGAAUGGACUUGUUUUACAAAUGCUUAUAUGUAGUACUUGAGAGCAAACCUAAAAAUUGUACUUCUAUCAUCAGCAUCUUAGAACUGUAACUCUAUAUUUUGUUGUCUUGUUAGUAUAAAAGAAACAAGUUCCUAUUCUAAAACAUAGAGUUUAGGAUUCAGAUUGCAAUGGACAACAAUAAUUCUGUACAUGGUAACUGAAUUCCCUCCAGUUCAAUAUCCCAAUAUCCCACAGUACAUAUAUGAUACAUCAAUUAUCACUUCUUUUCAUACCAAAGGCUUGGGUAAUCCCUUUCGAUGGUUGAAAUGAAGAUUUUAAUCGUGGUAGUCUGCUUUCUCCAUCUUAGGUUCACACUGUGGAUGCAUCAUAGUAUGAUUGAUUGUUGUACGAGAAGCUAGUAUUCUUUUUUUGUUGUUGGAAGGUACUUGUGAUAUUAUUAUUCUCCUGUAGCAUAAUAACCUUAUUAAGAGAAAAAAGGUUUGUUUCCUUUCUGUUCUGAUGUUUGCCUUUGUUACCAGGAUAAAAGUAUUGCUUAUGUUAUUUAUUUCUUAUAGUAAGUACGAAAGUGCCUUCCCUUGAUUUAAUUUUUAUACUUUUUAUACUUUAUAUUUCACAACUCAUGAGAGAUCAAUAGUAGGAAUUUCAGAAUGUUUUCAUAGCAUGAUUCAAUUUUAGUGUAGUGAUAGUCUGGAACUUCAUGUCAAAUAAGCACAGUGAAGUUUACUGCCAACUCUAUUGAUCUAUGUAUGCUCAUCAUUCCGUUUUGUUGCCGUCGGUUGUUUCUUUUCACACGAUUGAUUUUGUUGCACUACUUUACAUCGCGGGAGUGAAAAAAUAUAGGACUUGAUAACAUGUACUCCCUCCCUUGCUAAAUAUAAGUCUUUUCAGGAAUUUUAAUAUGGACUACAUACGGAGCAGAAUGAGUGAAUCUACACUUUAAAAUAAGGCUAUAUUUAUUCGUAUAUAGUCCAUAUUUAAAUCUCUAAGAAAAAUUAUAUUUAGGAACGAAGGGAGUAGUAAGUUACUUCUAGUUUAACCUACUGGCUAUAAUACUAUAUAUUGUGAUAUAUUUUUUUAUCAUGUGGCAGAUAUUGGUUUAUGGGAGCAUUUUCAACAACGAAGACAUGUGUUCUCACGACUUUGUGGAGGGGUGGAUCAAACGGCUAGGAAUGUGGGACGACCCGUGAUUGAUGUUCGACGAGCGUUGGGCCUUGCUUGAUGGGGGCGGCGCUGGUUGUAGAGUAGCAUAGUGUUCUUUUUUUGGCUCUUUUUUUGCUCAUGUAUAGGUAUUUUCUAGUGUGUUUAUGUAAUCUUCUUUUUUAAUGACAUGAGCGUAUAUUUUUUUAUCAAAUUAUUAUUGGCUUAAA
Long non-coding RNA from Triticum aestivum (bread wheat), 2763 nucleotides. RefSeq lists it as uncharacterized. Lineage: Eukaryota; Viridiplantae; Streptophyta; Magnoliopsida; Poales; Poaceae. The record is from RefSeq and is a predicted model, not a curated record. The transcript is spliced from 3 exons.